GACGAACGCUGGCGGCGUGCUUAACACAUGCAAGUCGAACGGAGCGAAUGAAAGCUUGCUUUUAUAAGCUUAGUGGCAAACGGGUGAGUAACACGUAGGCAACCUGCCGACAGGAUGGGGACAACAUUCCGAAAGGAAUGCUAAUACCGAAUGAAGCGCAGGAGAGGCAUCUCUCCUGCGUGAAAGAUGGCCUCUAUAUAUAAGCUAUCACCUGUCGAUGGGCCUGCGUCUGAUUAGCUGGUAGGUGAGGUAACGGCUCACCUAGGCGACGAUCAGUAGCCGGUCUGAGAGGAUGAACGGCCACAUUGGGACUGAGACACGGCCCAGACUCCUACGGGAGGCAGCAGUGGGGAAUCUUCCGCAAUGGGCGCAAGCCUGACGGAGCAACGCCGCGUGAGUGAAGAAGGUCUUCGGAUGUAAAGCUCUGUUGAUGGGGACGAACGUGCCUAAUGCGAAUAGUAUUAGGUAAUGACGGUACCCAUCG
This 484-nucleotide ribosomal RNA is filed under the name Centipeda noxia. RNAcentral's name for it is "bacterial SSU rRNA". It matches the Rfam family "Bacterial small subunit ribosomal RNA", at positions 28 to 484 of the family's 1533-position model. The record is from RNAcentral. Lineage: Bacteria; Bacillati; Bacillota; Negativicutes; Selenomonadales; Selenomonadaceae.